AAAAAAUUGAAAGUUUGGGAUUUUUAAGGGGAAAAUGAAAGUUCGGGACAUUUUGUGGAAAACGCUAGAAGUUUGAGACAUAAAACAUUAUUAUCCCUUAAAUAAAUAUAAUUCGGUUUUCAUUUUUGUUUGGUUUCUACAAAAUCAAACCGAAUUAAAAAAAAUCUAAUUUUUUUGAAAAAUCAAACUAAACCAAACCGAAAGACAAAAAAAAAAUGAACCAAAUAGAAAAAAAAAAGAACCAUAUUUCAAUAUUUCGGUUGAAUCAGUUCAGUUAUUCCGUUUCCAUUAUUUUGUUCACCCAUACCAGUAGGUUCUGUAAACCUAUUACUUUGGGAAAGCAAGGACCGACCCAAGCCUUUGAGUUUUGAGACCAUAUUUCUAGAGAUUGUUAUUUGGUAUGUUGAG
This 408-nucleotide long non-coding RNA is filed under the name Salvia miltiorrhiza (redroot sage). RNAcentral's name for it is "long non-coding RNA (SMIL_LNC004091)". Lineage: Eukaryota; Viridiplantae; Streptophyta; Magnoliopsida; Lamiales; Lamiaceae. The record is from RNAcentral.